This 42985-nucleotide long non-coding RNA is filed under the name Setaria italica (foxtail millet). Its description in RNAcentral is "long non-coding RNA (SITA_LNC000529)". The stretch from base 41155 to 41351 matches the Rfam family "U2 spliceosomal RNA". Lineage: Eukaryota; Viridiplantae; Streptophyta; Magnoliopsida; Poales; Poaceae. The record is from RNAcentral.
GGACUUCCUCCCAGAUUAGUACCAUACCGCUUACGAGACGACGCACCAACCAGCUUAAAUAUUAGCCUGGCAGCGCCCGCGUCAGCCAAGCACGGUAGCGCGUGCCUGUCACUCCAGCUUCAGGAGGGCUAAAGAGUGGGUGGGAAGGGAUGUGUGCGUUAGAGCCCAUGUCAGAGUCAGCUCGCCGAAAGGCAUGUGGUGCCCGGCCCACCAGAGACGCCAGACGAAGCGCGGCGCAGAAGACCAGCUGUUGAUGAGAUCCUGGCCCGUCCAAGUUGGCCAAGUUGCGGUAGUUUGGGUGCAGGCACUGAGCCAGUGGUGCCAGGCUUGUGACCCGGUUUGAGGCCCGUCAGAGAUUGGGCGCUCGUUGGACCGUUGACCUGUGAGGAGGCCGGUCGUUGACGCACUUGUUGGGCCGUGAGGAGGGCAGGCCACCAGAGACUGGUGAAAGCAGUAAUGUUGGCGCGCGCUAGUCGGGCCUUAGCCGAGGAGAUUGCCGGCGGGCCGUUGUUGUGGUCGAGGUGCACAUGUGGACUCUCUGUGGGGGGUUGAUGGGCUGUCGAUUAGGGAGCAGGCUUCGGCCCCGGUAGGCCGGCAGACCCGCCGGCGGGCAAUUUAGGUUGGGGUCCGCCCCCAGCCUGGAGCCCGUAUACGCCGCGCGGGGCUUCCACGGAGUCGGGCGGGGCAAGUUGCUGCGCAUUCGAUGCGCGCUUGGUCGUUGUCGCCGCCGGGCUGUGCGCGCCACACGCGCAGCCCGCUUCGUGGAGCAUUGGCUUGCAUACUAUCCCCUCCUACCCACUCUUUUGUUUUUUUUUAUUUUUUUCCUUUUAAUGUGUCCGCAAAAUUUUUGCUUUUUAUUUUUUUUGUACUGAACGAUGCAAGCAAACAUCGUGCACGAAUCUUAAUUGUACACACGGUGCAAUAUGUAGGUGGGGAAAAAACGGAGUUUGGUGGUGGCUUGCGCGUGGACCGUGGGAGACUCAAGCCACUAUGGAUUUGGCUUUGAACUCAACUCGGGUGUCGUCAAAUGGAUAGGAGAGUGCAGCCCUGGACAGCAUGCUUACUGCAGGUCUCAGAGGAUCAAGGGCCACGCUCGCCAGUUUCCUUGCGAGGGAGUUAUUUACGCUGAUCCCUCUGUAUGUCAGUUUGGCGUCAAAGACGAGAGAAAAAACAUAAGGGCUGGACGGUAACUUUCUCGGAUUUGGCCCAUGUAAGAUUUAUGCGUGCUCCGCGGCCUGGAAAACUAAAAGGCCCAUAUACAUGUAGCCCGUUAGAUGCCAAUGGGCUCGGACUGAACGUUCAAAGGCCAGAAGCCCGUCCGAGAUAGUAGGUAAGCCUGCUUCGCGCGGUUGCGGGAAAGACUCGUCUGCUGUGCGCAGAGGCAGCAUUGUGCUACGCUGCCGACGUUCGUCUCGACUCUCGAUCUCUCGUCAUCCUUCAGGCGAUACCCGAUCAUGAUCGGCUGGUGAUUACUGAAUUAUUUUCUAAAUCCGAAUUGCAUGAGAAAGUAAAACUCGCACAACAUACUAUCGUCUAAAAGGAAAAAGUAAAAAUAGUACAACAAGGGGGCCUAGUGACACAUAAGAUGAACCAGACAGUGAACCAGCAGCCAGGUGCGAAGUGUAGGAGGACAACGCUUACAUGUAAACAGCGGCAUGCAGAAGAGGGCAGAGAAGAUAAGCAAUCACACGAAAAGAGGUCCGGUCAGUGCUCAACAAACGACGCUCCCCAUUUAGUCCCGUACUGCUAAUCACAGCCAGGACGAGCCAGCUUAAAAUGGCACGCAUCCCGAGCUGCAACCACCAGGCCCGGUGGCGCGAGCCUGUUACUCCAGCCUCGGAGGGCAAAAGAGUUUGAUGCAGCGACAAGACUCACGGCCCAGCUAUCGGUCCUGGGUUUCUGGGUUGUGAGCUCGAGCCUUAGCUCAAAGCCGUGGAGUUGUCUGACCAGGGGCCCAUUUAAAUUUGAGACGGCUUUGGCCCGGGGAGCUCGCCCAUAAAGCGAUGGGCUGGCCGAGAUUUCACUCGGCGGUCAUUGUCGACUAUCUCCCCGGGUUUCCAUACGGUGCUCACGGGAUAUUUAAAUCCUUGAUUUUAGGCCCCAUGAUGAUGAUUAUGUGUGGCUAAGGUUUAAUGGGGGCCUCCGUGUGGUUGCUAUGGGUUCGCUCAUAAACCCCUCUCAUCAACUCUUUUUUUUCCUUCUUUUAUGAUCCAUUCAUCCAUCCAGAUUUAGGGGGUGUUUGGCAGCACUCCACUCAAAAAAAAUCAUCCAUCCAGAUUUAGGGGGUGUUUGGCAGCACUCCACUCAAAAAAUUUUAUGAUCCAUUCAUCCAUCCAGAUUUAGGGGGUGUUUGGCAGCACUCCACUCAAAAAAAAUUUUAUGAUCCAUUCAUCCAUCCAGAUUUAGGGGGUGUUUGGCAGCACUCCACUCAAAAAAAAUCAUCCAUCCAGAUUUAGGGGGUGUUUGGCAGCACUCCACUCAAAAAAUUUUAUGAUCCAUUCAUCCAUCCAGAUUUAGGGGGUGUUUGGCAGCACUCCACUCAAAAAAAAUUUUAUGAUCCAUUCAUCCAUCCAGAUUUAGGGGGUGUUUGGCAGCACUCCACUCCAAAUUUUUGAGCUCCACUCCACCGACUCCAAAAAAAUACCAGAGCUGUCCACAUGUUUGGCAAAAUGCAUAGAUCCAGCUCCGGAAAUAGAAGAUCUUGAUGUGUAAAGUCCAUUAUACCCAUGUGAAUGGGUCCCACUUGUCUGUCCUUUAGUUCUCCCCUUCUUCUCCUGUGCUGGUUGGGAUCGAUUUUCUUCAUUCGAGCAGGCAGGCCGCGCAGGACCGGCGGGCGGCGCAGGGGCGGGCGGGCGGCGCGGGCCGCGGCGGGUGAGGGCGGGCGGCGCAGGGCGUGGGGCGCGGCGGGUAGGGGCGGGCGGCACGCGGCGGCGCGCGGCGGGCAGGGGCGGGCGGCGCGCGACGGGUGAGGAGCGGUGGCGGGCGGCGGCGCCGGGCGCGACGAGCGGGAGCGGCACGGCAGGCAUAGCCGGCCGGCGCGACGGGAGCCUUUUUUUUAUUUCGCGAACCGUUACGUUGUGUAACGAGUGGCAGUGGUGGGUAAAUACCCACCAACUCCACGAGGAGGUCUGUAAAGUGGAUUUUUGGAGCACCUCUUGAGGUACUCCACAAAAAACGUGGAUCUACCCCCUGCUCCACCUUUUUUCCUGGAGCCGGAGUUGCUGGAGCUAGACAUGUUUGGCUGCGAAAUUUUUGGAGUUGGUGGAGUGGAGCAAUUUUUCGUGAAGUGGAGUGCUCCCAAAUACCCCCUUAGUCGUGACUAAAAUUCAUGUCACAUCGAAUAUUCGGAGGCUAACUAGGAGGACUAAACAUGAGCUAAUUAUAAAACUAAUUAUAUAGAUGGAGACUAAUUCACGAGACGAAUCUAUUAAGCCUAAUUAAUCCAUCAUUAACACAUGUUUACUGUAGCAUCACAUUAUCAAAUCAUGAACUAAUUAGGCUUAAUAGAUUCAUCUCACAAAUUAGUCUCCAUCUGUGCAAUUAGUUUUGUAAUUAGUAUCUAAAUAUUCGAUGUGACAGGAAUUUUAGGAGGUGCUAAAUAAACAACCACUCCCUUAGGAUGAUCUCGCCACAGGUAUAUAACAAGUAAUUAGCCGUAUGUGCAUGCGUGUGCAACCUGCAGCUGCCGGGAGGUGAGUCCACGAUCAUGCGGCUCGGGAGAGAAGGAAGAACUUCAGCGCAAAAAAGAAAAGUUUGGUAAGGGUAUUUUGCGCGUGGAGAAACUCUAGAACUAGGCUUCGGCUAAUGUGUUACAUUAGCAACGACCGCUAAGGGAGAGGGAAGAUGUCAUAUUUUCUCGCUGUCAGGAGCUCCACAACACACUGAACCCUAGCUCCCCAAGCUCUGCCCUUUGGAGAUGGAGUCAUAGGGCGAGUUCCUUUUGACAGGGAGUGUGUGUUUAUGUUGGUCCUUCUGCAGUUUACUUAUCAGUUUGGCAUCAAACUAUUAAAGACUAUGUGGGUAAGGGAAACCCAGUAAACUUUCUUAGGCUUGUCUCGUUGCGCGUUCUUCGGCCCGUAAAACCCAUAAAAAAAACCUGUGUAGAUAGCUCAUUACGUGCAAUAGGUUCGAAUUGGGAGGAAUUGUACGUGGGAUCUGGGCCAUGCGCGCUCGUGCUCAUCAGUCAUCAGCAAGUCGUCGUCGUCGUCGCCACCGCCACUGCAUCGCAAGACUUCUCAGGCGUGGUUUUGUUGCAACCUUGCCGGAAAAACCUGGUUGCCUUUCUCAUGGGUCAUGGUAGUGGUGGGUACGUGUUCGUUCCUUUGUUACCCCCAACUGCAUGCAUGAACAAGUAGAAAACCACUAUUUUCGCAAAGAGGCCACCGUCUGAUAUACUACUGAACAUCGCCAUGAAAGUGGCGACCGGUCACGCUUUACAGCACGCACAAAGACCUGGCGCAAACAAGAAAAGCGAGCACAUGCAACUAAAUCCAGCUCCACUCACCCUGCAAGCCAAGUGCUCCUUUUAGUCCCAUACUGCUAAUCACUCUCAGAACAACUCGGCUUAAAGGGACACGCCUCGAGUCUACAAACGCCGGGUGCGGUCGCGCGGGCCUGUUACUCCAGUCAGCCGGAGGGCAAAAGAGUUGGUGUUGCGACAUGGUUUUGGCCCAACGGGCCGUCACCUGGGUUGUGAGUUGAGCUCUGGAUUCGGGAACGCAGCUCGUCUCGUAGACGAUGGCAGGCCGAACUCUCAAGCACCUUGUCAUUCGGGCCCGUCCCAAGCCAAGCACUUGUCGUUCGGCCGUUACAGGUUGGGUCGGAGGGAAACCUCCCCUAUCUGAGCCCAGUUUGGCGUCCCUUCCCGGUUUCCAUUCGCGCGGUCACGGGAGGCCGUAGUCCUUCCCUGAUCUUCCCAUUACGGUAAUCGGGGCUCGUAUGGUUGCCAGAGCUCGCUCACUAACCACUCUCACCAACCCUUUUUUCUCUUCUAACUUUCACUUUAAUGAAUAGCUCCAGCAAAUCACCCAUGCAAAACGAGAUUAUCUAACGGGAAAGAUGCAGUGGGAAGGAUAAAUACAAAAUACUCGUGCCUCGAUCUCAGAUGGCGAACUGUGAAAGUGCCUCGCCGGCACGGCCCAGGGUGGAGUGCCGAGCCCGCCGGUACUCGCCGUAGCUGAACGCCCUGAACCGGCGCGGGCGGCGCGCGUCCACGAGCGCCUCCGGCGCGCGCACCUCCCCGGGGCGCCAGCAGGAACAUGCCCACCGUGAAGCGCGGCGCCGCCGCCACGCACCGCACCCCGUGCCUCGCGUUGUGGAGCUCCCCGUUGCUCCACGCCUGCAGCACACGACGCGACCAAGCUCAGCACGGGACGGCCACCGGUGAGGUAUGCAGCCGGAGAGCGGAGAGAGGCUGACCGUGGCGAUGUCACCGAUGUUGACGAGGAGGGAGCCGGGGAGGGGCAGGUCGACGGGCUCGAACUCGGCGGUGUCCGGGUCGGCCACCUCGAGGCCGCCGAUGCGGUCGUCUUCCAGGAGCACGGUGAGGAAGCUGGAGUCCGUGUGCACCUGCACGCCGGGCGACCCCACGGUCUCCGCCGUGUAGUUGUACCUGUUCAUCCGGAGCUGGCACGGCCAGUCACAGAACGCCGACAACGACCCUCCUCCUCCCCGCCCACGCCGAGGCCCGCGGUCAUCUUCGCCGCGACGUCCAGGGCUAGCUCGUGCGUCUUCUCGGCGUACGCUCCGAUGGUCGCCCUGCGCGCGCACCAAUAUUAAUGGCGGCGAGGAACGCGGCGCGCUUAGUGAAAUUAAUCAAUUCCGUCACCUGAUGUGCGGCGGCGCGCCGAUGAGGUCGCAGAAGGCCUCGACGUCGGCGGGGGCGGAGGCGUCGUGCACGGCGAGGGACUCGAACAGCGGGUUCGUGGCGCUCGGGUGCACGUACCCGCUGUCCGGCGGCGCGACGUCGGCGCUGCGGCGUUUGGCGUCCACGGGGAGCUCGUGCAGCGCCCGCGCGGCGGCCUUCAUGCUGGCCUGGAGCUCGAGCGGCACGCAGCCCAGAAGCCGGGCCGCGGCCAGCAGCCGCGCGGACUCGUCCGGCCGCGCGCCGACGAGGGGCAGGUCGAACACCGGGAUCUCUAACAUCUUCGCCGAAUGUGACUUGUGAGCGAGUUCAGUUGGACCUUGCUAGCUUGUAGUUAGUUGAUACGGGUGGUUCCAUGGGAUCGUGACGAAACCGAGUAUUUUAGGAGAAAGAUGCCUGCAAAUUUUAUUGUUCGAUUCUCAUGUGUCGCAUAAUUUUGUCCAUAAUUGCACGAUUUAGAAACAAUAUGUCACACCCUCAUGUAAUACGCACGAUAAGCACCAUGAGCAAGAAUUUGGGAAAACAGAUGCGAGAGCAGUACUUCGUUAGAAUAUGCGAUUCUGACCUCACGCACUCAUGUUGUGUACUUGAGUGCACGGUAAGGGAAAAGGGACACGGCGAAGACAGGAGAACUCUCGGAAAACAAGGACAUUCAGCAAGCUAAGCUAUAGAGGGGCAGUACAAGGUUGUAUAUCACUUGUCAGUUAACAACUUAACAUGUCUAUCCAAUCUGUGCUGUGUAAAUUGCACAGCGAGGUGUACUGAUUGAUACUCAGGAGUGAGGUGUCAUCUUACUUCCUGCGGGCUCGCGGCAGGGCCUGCAGUGCUCCUGGUCAGUGUGAAGUUCAGCUUCCAAGUGUAGUUGGACCGAGAAUCUAAAUUUUAUCCUCGGCACACCUCACAACUAUUCUUUCUUGGUUUUCUUACUGCACCUUGUGAUACUAUACAAGCAAGUGGCUGCUAGCAGCACCACGGCUAUGAUAAAAGCUGCACACAAUAAAGAAAUUAUACAAAGGUACAUCGCAAAAGAUCCAUAAGACUACAAUGUAGAUUCAUAUGGUUGGAAUAAUUGGCAUGGAUACGAGUAGCAUACCAGCUAUGGUGCCAAAGAACAGCAGAGCGAGCCGGUGUCGUGUUAGCCAUGGAAGCUCUGUUUCGAGAGUACAGUGCCGUUGAAAAGCAUGUUCUUGUUUCUUGAUUGCGUGCGCACCUGAUGGCUGCAGUUCAGAUAUAGGGAACUCCACACUGUGAACAGAAUGGCCCUCAACAUCUCUUAGUUCAAGUUUUAUCCGCGGAGGUACAGCAUUCCAAUCAAUUUCAAUUGCUCCAAAAUUUGGUUGACCUGAAAAAUGCAACACCAAAUGAUUUAACAAUGUAACAAAAUCUCAACACAGCAGGAAAUAACCUAAUCUUUUUCUGGAACGUGUACAAGAGCUGCGCAUCAUUAUAUUAAGAGGGAAAUAAGGUAGCCUAGGUACUGAAAAAUAUUGGCAUUCCCUUCAGAUGCUUUAUGAUGACAUUCUACAAAUGAACUGUAUCUUUUCGAGGCUUUAAAUAAAUUUAAACCUCCGUAUCUAUUCUUUUCUUUUUUAUAGAGAAAGAAAUUGAGUAAAAUAAAACAUUAUAGCUAUCCUACAUUGUGGAUUCAUACUUCUACAGUUGAGACCAAGAAAGAGUCAUACCUGUAGUGCAUGAUUUAUACCGGCACUUAGGGCUAAAGACUCGCAUGGUAGUUGGUGUAAGUACUGCCAGAAGUCUCAUAAUAGGUUGAAAGACUGCUGGCACAGAAUUCUCAACGGACUGGGUAAGACCACUUGAAGUAACAUCAUACAAUGGAUAUUGAGCUCCACAGUCGAAUCUAGCAAUUUCUCCAAAAUGAACAUCACCACUAAUAAAUAUUACUCCGUUUCUCUGCAAAUAGUCAUGCAAUCAGCAUAUGUUUCAUAAGAGUAAUGAACAUGUAAAAAAUCAUUUUGCUGAUAUCAUGGUAUCUUGUAAAGGACUCAGAACCGAAAGGUUUAAUUGAAGAAAGAUAUGCCAGCACCUACUGCAUUUUCCUUUGCCGCAGCUAAAGGAGGAUUGUUACUUUUGGAAAGAUUGAAACCAUGAAUAAUAAUAUAAUAGCUUGCCCGCAAGAAAGUAAUAGUGACCAACCUUACUGCUGUCAAUCAAUCUGAACAGCCUCUCUCUCUCCCUUGGGAAGCGUGCCCAGGACUCCACAUAGAACAAAGGUCCAGUUGUGGCAGAAAGAUUAGAUACUACCUGUAUUGACACAUGGGGAUAAAGCAAUUACUCUAUAGUUAUACCGAUGAAAAUUUCCACUGCAUAGCAUUCCAAAAAAAUGCAAUCCGAUAUGUAACUUUUUUCUUGACCACAAGUGGAGAACCCUGUCAUUUUUAAUUUAUGGUAGAAGAGAACCAAACCCAGCCUGGAGGUACCCAGAAACUGCAUAUUAUAGUGGAAGCAUUAAGACAUAUAAAAAGCGAGAGCAAUGGAACAGUAGGAUACUCUCUGUCCAUCUAAAGAGCUGCCACCAGGUGAAAUGUCAUAUUAUUGAAAUUCUGUCACAUAAAACAAUCACAUAUACCAUCUGUUUUAUUUGGGGAGAAAAAACAGUAGCCAACCAAGCAAUAACUGAAUUUAUUAUACUAUCACUACCACAAAAACUUUCAGGACUUGUGAAAGUUUUUCAUAACUUCUGGGCAACCCAUUAGUUGGCAACUGAGCUGUUCAUCCAGAAAGCUGGGAUCCAUGGGAGUGAGAAGUUUAAUAGCUUUGGAUGUGAAAACUCGUGGUCUAUGAUUUCUAUCUGAACAUUUUUUAUCCUUGCUAGAUUUAGUUUUACAAGUCCUAAAAAAAUAUUUACUUUUAAUAUGUUUACCUGGAUAGAAGAUCCGAUGAUGGUGAUCUCUGAUUGAGGACCAUGAAGCUCCCUCUCCAGCCACUGCCAUUGAGGAUCUCCUAGAAUAGUUCCAUCACUUAAAAGUGGGUCUCUGUGAUAUCUGGUAUCCAACAAGAUUACCUGCAAUACUGUGUGGUUAUCUUUUAAUUCAAAAUUGACGAUGAAACUAAUUGGCAACAGAAGGGGAAAGCACUAGUCAUAUGUUUUAUUUAGCCCUGAUGCACGACCAUUUUAGACCUUAUACUAGCUUUACCGCCAAUAGCACUUUAUGAUACUUAAAAUGACUGCUGGGCUGAUGCUUUAUAUUGAUCGGGACAUGAAAAGGUGCAAAGUAUGUGUAGAUAACUGUGUACUAGACUUAAUUCAGGUAAAUGACAAUUUAAAUUGUAUAAAUGCUAAAUAUCCACAAAAGCCAGAUAUGAAGUCCUCAGAGUUUACACAUAAAAGAGAAGGGCAUGUUCUAUAUCACUUUAAAAUUUGAACAACAGACUCAAAAUGCAUUUACCAGAUGCAAAAGGGGAUAACACAGUAUAGCAGUGCAUCACACUGUUCAUCAAGGAAUUUUUUUAGUCUAAAAAAAGAAUUCUGUCUUUUUGCAUCCUGCAAAUGCAAUUGAGUUUCAUCUUGAAUUUUGCAUUUCUAUUCAUUAUCAAACAUACACUUCCCUUAUAUUUGAUAUUAUCUUGAGAGUCUUAGAAAACUUCUACAUCUAGUUUUCGCAGAAUUUGCAACAUUUAGCUGGUUUCACAAGAUACAUCGCCAACUUAAUAUAUAGCAUAAAAAUUGUGAUAAGGAUCAACCCUCAUCAGAUAAAUAUAGGAUGGAUUGCCUGAUCUUCAUAGUGGAGGGGAACAUCAGAAGAAGUAAUUCUUUGUCCAUCAUAUGCGAACUGGGACAAUUGAUAACUAUCUUGCAAUCAAAUUCGUGGUAGAAAGAAUUGCCAGAAAAGUACAAUGCCCUAUAUUUCAAGAAACUUCUGCAUCUAGUUUUCACAUAAAUCUGAAAAUGCAGCAAAGUAAUGACUGGAAAACAUGUCCAAAACCUGGAUUCACAUUCACAGGGUAGCAAGUUCUUAACUUCUUAUAAACUCGGACAUCAGUAACUACAAAGUACCAAUGACUGAGAUAAGUUUGCACUCAAGGAACAAACAAUGAAGCUGAAACAGAGUUACAGAUAACCAGAUAUUCCAUUUUGGGAAUAAUUUUAAUAUUAUCAUGUUCAUAUGAAAAAGAGGAGAAUAUAUCAAAGAUUGAAGGAACCACUGCAUCACUGAUACAAUUAUUUGUGAUAUAAUCCUAUUUGAACACGAAAUAGAAAAACCAUGCAAAAAUUGAACAUGACAUAAGACUACAAGCAUCGACUUUACCUUCACUCUUUUUCCUUCAGGGCCAAACAUGUAUGAGGUAUAAACACCAGCUUGUUUCCUCCUGAACAAACAAGUAUUAAAUUAUCAGGUGGGGACAUUUCUCCCCUUGCUGACCCUAAAAAAGGGAAAAUAAUAGAGUAUUUUAAGGCAUAUGUUGGUGUAUUGGCUGUAUGUACGCAGAUCCUAAAACUUAUACAGAAAUGUAUGGUCCAAGGAUAGAAGAAGAUUUGACAUACUGUGACAAUAAAUCAACAAGGAAAUAACAUUGAGAGCAACAACAACAAUAACAUUCCAGACUACCUUAAUUUCUAACAAAGAACGCAACUACAGACAAAUGAAAAAUGGAAACAGUUUAACAGAUGACCAGAAAGAAUAUAUAUGUGCUACAACUACAAAGGACGGAGGCAAAUCCAAAUCUAGUAAAUGCGGAUCAGGCCGUUAUAAGUUGAUAGGAUCCAUUUUGAGUUGAAAUACAGCGAGAAAAGUAUCUCAAUUGACUCAAAGAUUGUAUAAUGGUUAAAUCAGACUUUGUGGUCCUAGUCAUAAGAUAAUUGCUUUAAGUAUGAAUUACCCAAGUAAUGUGGUGAUGAUGAGAUUCAAUAUUUUCUGUGAAGGAUGCUUUUUGUAAUGAAGAAAUAGAAGUAGUGCUAGUGGACAUACAAGUAUGUAAAGCAGGUUACAAUUCCAUGCUUUAUUGAAAAACUACCAGUGCUCAGUCUGAAUGUAAAUUGGUUAGCGAACAAUAACUGCAUAACAAGAUAAACAUGAAGAAAUUCAAGAUCAACUCCAGUAUUUCUAAGUGCAUACCGCUUACUGUCUUCAGGUUCAUCCAAGAAAUCUAACAUAAGCCUUUGAGUAAACACUUUCCCACUAAAUUCCUUUCCUGCAUCAUUCAAUCCAUAAUCAUGGUCAUCCCAUGUUCCAAUAACCUGCAAUUAAUGAAUUCCAAUAGUGACACCAGUUUCUCAUAUCUUCUAGAAGCAGGAAGAAGCAGUGUCAAAGAUUCUUCAUAAGUUCAGAAGAUUUUUAGACUGUCCUAAAUAUUAUGGCAACUACAAUUUGGUGCCACCCUAGCCCAUAGUUGGACAUUCGAUUAUACUCCAUCCGUUCCUAAAUAUAUGACGUUUAGGACAAGGCGACAAGCUAUUAGUUAAAAAAUGGACUAGCUAGCUUGUCCUAAACGUCAUAUAUUUGAGAAUGGAUGUAGUAUGAUUCUAUCUGAAAUGCAUUAUUCACUGCUGUAAGAUAAUCAGCCCACGAGUGCAGUCAAUGGAAUUUAAACAGUAACAUUUGAUUGUUUGUCACUGUGAUGCCGACUCAAAAGAGCAGCCCCACGACUGGACUAGCACCAACAAUCAAUGCGGCGAGCAGACACUAGAAACGACCCGGAAGAGAAGCUGACCUGAGCCUUCUCCCUGAGCCUGGCGUACCCGGGCUUCGCCCUGCCGAGCUGGUACCGCCUCCGCAGCUCCUCCUCGGUGGAGGGGUAGAACCGCGGCACGUUCUUCCAGGGCCCCACGGUGCGCUCCUUCCCGAACACCCGGAACGGGCGCUUGUUGUCGCCGUAGACGUUGUCCCCGAGCCAGACGAACACCUGCGGGUCGAACCCCGCGACGGCGUCCCAAAUGGGCUGCAGGAAAAUCGCAAACGAAACAAUUCCGUCACAAUCUCAUGAUCUCAUCAUUCAUCAAAGUGAGCGAGCAAGCACGGCCAGCCGGGGUGAGCAUUCCGUCGCGCACCUGGGGCGCGCUCUGGUUGGCGCAGGAGCCGAAGGCAAUCCUGGACACCACGGCGUCGGCGGCGCGGGCGCAAGGGGCCAGGACGAGGUGGAGCAGGAGCAGGAGCGGGAAGGUGGCGGCCAUUGGGGGAUGCGCCGGGAUGGGAGAGUGCGCUCUGGCUCUGCCUCCGCUCGGUGGGCGAGGCGACGGGCGAGGAGAAAUUGCGGGAGGUGGGCAGGAGGGAGACGGGGAUAUUCCAAUUUCCAAGGCGUCGGAUCCCGGGGAAGGCAGAGGCUGGAGGUGGACGUGUGGUGGUGGGGGCGACCGGGCGAGGGCGAUGCCGGUGGCGGACGCAGGGAGGGAGGAAGAAAGCCGGAGGCCGUUUGCCCCCUUUUUUUCACUUGUUUAAUUAAUGCAGUGGAAUUCUGUGGAAAUCUAUCUACGUGCUGUGUUCCUUCUGACCAUCCACUCCUCUGUUAACCACGCUGCGUGAAGUGUGAAGCUUCUAGAGAAGAACAUAACGUGUAGGAACUUUGUAAGUCAGGUCCUUGAGUUUUGUUUGCAGAAAAGUUAAAUUCUGGCUGAAAUACUCUGAAAAUCCUAUGUAAACUUGGAGGAUCCCCGAGUUAGCAAGUCUGAGCCUGCAUAUCAAGUCAAAGUCAUUGAUCUUACUGGGGAGAAAACAACAGCAUAUUUGGCCAUGAGCAGUUAGAACAAGGAAAAUAUGAUCAUGGCGAUCAUCUCUAGCUGGGAAAGAUGUCAACAAAGCCGCAACAUUUCUGGCUUUGCACUUUUGCAGGGAUGGGGGCUAGCCUAAAAGGCGUGAUCCGGGGUGAAAAAAGCUGCGAACUUGCCGUGCCUAACUUCUUUUUUGCCUUUUGCUUGGGAUCAAGCAACUUCGCUGCAAACAGCAGAAGGCAUCACGUUGUCGCUAAAGCUCAAGGCUUCCAUUCAGAGCUGGAAUAUUUCUAGAACUGUGGCUUACUGGCUUGUGAGAAUCACCGAUAGUCUAAACUAGCUUGUAAGCAUUUUUCGCCCAUUUGCAUUGAGCAUCUGAAGCAAUGGAACCAAGUGAUCACAAAUCUAAUCAAAACCUUCUCCAGCCUCCAGCUAUGCAGCAACGCUAGAAGAACCUGUUCUAUGCAGCAACGCCAGAAGAACCUGUUCUCCAACAAUUGUUUAUGGGCUCAUGGCCUAAAUAGCCCACUCUGCCAUUGCUUAAAGGGCCAGCACUCCAAUAGCUUCAGUACAAAGCAAGUGAUCACACCUAGGGACUCACUGUACUCCAUACUCUUAUCAGCACUGCAAAACCAAUUCGAGGCAUCUGAUUCCAGCAAAUGGUAAGCAAGGAAAUGAUGUGUUCUAACAAAGCAGGCUUCAGCAACCCACCAAAAGUACACAUACAUUCAGAUUACGUCAGGGUGCCAAACUGCAAACUAGAUACAGCUAAAAUUGGUACAUGCCGUCAGGAACUCAACGCAUGGUCAACGAAGUACCUACAUCUAGAUUUCAACAACAAACUACAAGCCAGCGUGUUCAUCAGUUUAUGUUUCCCCAGAUAGCUUGCCCCGAGGUCCCCUUGUUGCUUGGCCUUGCAGUCAGUUCAUAUAGGAUCCGAGCAAAGGUGUCCGAGUAUUUCCCUUCUGUCGUCAGGAUCUCAGCAAAAGUGUUCUCAUGCACAAGGAGGUGCAUCCUGUUUUGAGGCUCGGAGACGAGGCUCUCCAGUAUCAUUGACGUCUUCCUGCAGACCUCAGGCACAGGAUGCGGCGUCUUCACAAUCUUUAGAAGUCUGUCGACAGCCCUGGUUCAAUUCACAUUGAAAUGACAAAAAAAUUCUGAUUGUUAAUGCCACUUCCUGUAUUAGUUUGCUCUCUCUAAUUGUGUGAAGCAGAUGUUUACCAUCGCUCACUGGCAAGCUUUAGCCUGCAAUCCAUAUUCACUUCAGCUACAUUGUAGAGUGCGCUAACAGCAGCAGCCUGUGCAUCAUAUGCUGGCAUACUCAAGAGGUCAACUAGCCGUUUGUAUAUCUGUAUCAAGCAGCACGAUGUAAGUAUGACAACUAAACAGCCGAGAAACAGAUAGCUUUAUUCAAAUGCAGCAUAGACAAUAUAACACCAAACUAUUACCAAAUGAAACAGUGAGCUAAACAGCAGUAUUUACCUGUGGAAUGACAGGGAGAAGAAAUGACUCAUUAUCUGGAUUUAUUAUCAGACGCCCAAUCAGUUCAGCAGCGGCACAGUGCCACGGCUUAACUGAAGAUGAAAGCAUACCCAUUAUGGCAUGAACUGCACCUUUUUCACUGUCUUGGCAAAAAAGCAGCAAAUGAGUUAACUUCAAUAUAGAAAAUAAAAGGAGAGAGGAUAAUACAGCUUCAGAGUUAUGUCUCACGUCAUUUUAAUGAAUGAUGGCUUCGAUGAGCUGAAGAUUCUCAAGUCCAACACAGGUGCUAAAUUGACAAGGGUUUCCAGCAUGUUUGUUACGAGUUCAUCAUCUUCUGCUCAAUGACAACAAAUCAGCAGAGCAUUAGUUCACAUUAAGUCUGUUGGAAAAAGAGCUGGAUUUAAAUUGCCAUGACAUGAAACAGUCCCAGGAGCUCAUUAAAGUUACAACAGACAUUCAAUACACAUAAACAAAAAAGCUCUCACUUCCUUAUUUUGCAGUGUAAGACCAAAUAUAUAAAUAGUCAGUUUUUGGGUUGAGUUUGUGGAGAGCUAAUGAUAGCUUGGUUGGUAGAGCCUCUAGUUGAGAAGCAGUUCACUAGGCUUGAACCCAGGUGUUCGCAGGCCAUGUGAGUACCUCCCUAAAGCAUUCGCUACUCACCCUCCAUCCCCACCCACAAAACACACACGUAAGACGAAGUCAAGCGGAUGUCUCCACCCGUGGGUUUUCAUAUGCAGGUAAUGACAAAACGUAAAACACAACAAACUUGAAUAGCCAAACACUAAUAUUGACAUAGACACAUUUAAUCUAAUAAAAGAAUACUAGAUUGAUGGACUGCAAAAAAAAGAGUAGAAGAUAAAUGCAUGUAACUGAAGACAAGACACAGGGCAAUAUUUCAAGCUUUACCUCUAUUCUGGUCUUCUAAGCACUGAAAUACAGUCUCCAAGCAAUGCCUAUGUUGAACCAUGAUAGUCUCAUUUUCUGGCAUAAAAGAGAAAUUACGGAUUAUAUUGGAGACUGCUAUAGCGCACUGCUGCCUUUCUGCCCUCCCUUCAUCAUCAUUGUUAAACAAGCCAUCCUCAUCAAACCAAAAGCUUGCAGAGCGCUUCUUCGUGACACUGGACUCCUCGGUCUUUGAUUGAUCAUUAGAGGUACUGUAAUUAGUACAAUUAAAAGAACAUAAGAAUAGGCAGCAACAGCCAUGGAUACUGAGAUACGCUAUCAGGAUCUUGGUAAGAUUAGUAACAACAUACGUGCCAGUGUCAGAGUAGACUUUUUCCAUGUUCUCUUGACCAAAGCCAGAGAGCGUUGUGUUGGCACCCAAAGUUCUUACUCUGGGUGGUUUGAGAUGGUCCUUAGGCAUUGCAAUAUCUCUCCAUUCAUCAAUCUGUACGAGAUAUCAAAGCAUAAGACACAAUGCAAAAAACAAAACGAGUAGCUUCUUUUGGAAGAAAUUGACAGACACAUCAGUACAUUGCUUUGCAGAUUUUAGAAGUUAAUUUGGUGUAAGAACCAUAUAAAUUAGAUGAGAUGAGUCUAACCUACUCCCUCUCAUUUUCCACAUGGAUGACGUCGCUGCCACAUGGCAAAAGUUAAUGAUGCCACUGCCACAUCACCAAAAACCACCCACAAAUCCUCCUAGGACAUGGUUUGCAUCUGUUUUUAUCUGAUUCUGGAAAUAAAAAAGGGUUCACCCUUAUGGGGUAUGGGAAAGAGAAUUCUGGGCAGAUUUACCCUUGCUUCUUUGGCAACAUGUGGAUAAAAUAUAAAAGGAGAGAAGGAUUGGGGAACCAAAAUUAGACGACUUUUUCCCUUUGUUUUAUGGCUACAAACCUAUAUGGACAAUGAUGCCAGAUCCCACAAACACCAUUACCCUUUCCUUCAGUGUUUAUAUUAAAGGGCAAUGCUAGCUUGACUAAAUCUAGUUCAAAUGCAUUUUUAUGCAAAUACAAUUAGCACUGAUUAGCAGACAGAAUCAUAAUUGCUAUACAAUUUCAAAUAAAAUGUAAAUUGCAUGAUUUAGUAAGAGAUGAAUCAAACUAGAAAGAUGAAAAGGGAAUUCAGGACAUACAACUUGAAGAAGAGCAUCUAAGAGCCCAGGAACUUUAGCAAGAGGUGUUGUAUCACGUCGGAAGUCAUCCUUCUCCUUAAAUGAGAGCACUGUAAGGGCAUUCAGUGCCCACAGUAUCUCUGAUUUCAACCCACUUUGCAAUGCAAGGACAAUUCUUUUGUUAUUCUGAUCUGAGAAAAGCCAAAAGAGAAAAAUAAGUGUCCUGCCAAAUGGUCGAUGCUGGUAACCGUUAUUAGAAAAUGAUUACUUGUGCAGUUCAAGCUCAUGACAAAGAACGUGAGGCAUCACCUCUAACGAACAGGACAAAACAAGAGUAAAAUGAUAGAGAGCAGGAACACAAAAUAAGGUAAGCAUAACUGUGCCAUGCCAUUGUUUGUCAGCUGUAUAAAGUAACUGUUUCCAAGCUUGGGAAAUGAAAAGACAUGUACACGCUUUAUAAACCUAUAUGUAGUUAUAUGCACUCUCAAGGAAGGACAUGUGCACAUACGUGAACAUUUCUAAGCCCAAAUUCUUAUCAUCACAUAGAAAGGUUUGCAGUCAAUUCUACUAGGUAUUCAUGUGACAGGAAGAAUUACAACUAAGUUGACCAGCAACAACAAUCCAAACUGGAAGUGAGGCGUAUUACAGUUUACCCUAAACAUUUUCAAGAAUAAAAAAGAAGAGGAGGCAAGCAUCAGGUUCUUGAUACUUCUUUGACCUUCAAAGAACUGAAAAACAAAGUCUCUGUCUAAAUUGGAUACUCAGGUUAGCCUCAAAGUUGUCCAGAACUCUAUAGCCUCAUCCAAGCCAGAAUUAUGUGUCUAAGCAAGACGUGCAGCAGAGGUCUGAAAGAAACCGUGCUAGUUAGUGUUCUAUGGCAUCACACAGUUUUCAUAAAGAGUCUGUUUGUGAUGUCAAACCUUUUCCAUUGUAUGUAAACUCUGCUACUUAACACGAUGGCUUCAAGAAUGUUAAGCUAAAUCAUCUGCACUGCAAAUGUUAUAUAACCAUGAUGACUAUUUUUCUCCCAACAUUUAUUUGACAAUCAACACUACAAAUAUGCAUACCCGUAAUACUCUGCAGCAACAUUUUUGCUUCAGAAGAUAACCAAACCAACGGCAACAAACUAAUCCAAAAUGUCUCCAUAAAAUGAGCACUCCGAUGGCAAAAACUUGGACCUCUAAGGCCUUAUUUAUACCCCUUAUGUCAGUGUCAAGCACGUAAUUACACAGAUCUUAGGAGGCAGUAAAAAGAGAGGCAUAUUUCACAGUCUAACGCCCAUAAUUUUCGUCCAACAAAUCGACCCCAAAUUCAUAGGACCAACACCCGAGUUAUUCCCCCCUCAUGCCCCAGAGUCGCACAUAAGCUGAGUUGAACUGGGAGAGGAGACGAAUGAGCGGGUUACCUGAGAGGGCCGAGAGUACUUGGAGGGACGGCCCGACCAGCGCGGCGGGCGCCCCCGGGUCGCCGACAGCAGCCGCCGCGGCUGCGGCCGCGGCUCCGCUGCCGGUGGUGCUCCCGAAGGGGCGGCCGCGCUUCGCCGGCGUGCCGCCGCCGCUCCCGCCGGACUUGCCCGUCUGCUUCUGCAUGGCUAGGGUUUUGGAGCUCGGAGCUUCGAGGGCGGAGCGACGGAGAACGGCGCGUGCUCGGAGCUCGGAAUUGGGGUGGGCACCGUGUCGAAGCGGACAAGGCGAUCCGCGGGAUUACUCGGACGGUGGAGAUUGAGCGGUAUACGCCUCCCACGGCCAAGUGAUACAUGCCGUUCUCUUGCGCUAGACAGGUGGGUCAAGACUAUAGCCCACGACAUAGUUUGAGUUUCGAGGUUUUAAACUAAGCGUGUCUCUGACAGCAUAACGUUGUGAACAGUUAACCAAACGGAAAUGCUAUGCAUCCGACAUCUUACCCAUCUGUCCGGAUGCACCAUCCACUGUCCGCCAGAUCCGAUAGCUUAGCUCGCUUCACUCACAUUUCUCCCCCCACUCCUCCUCCCGCACGCCACCCUCCCGUCCAUUUGCCCCUUCCCUUCUCUCGCUUUCACCUAGUACCUGAUGCUUUCACCCAAUACCCGACGCGCCCCUGCGGUGGCGAUGCGGACGCCGCGGCCGGCGGGAAGGAUGCCGGCAGAGGGCAGCGCUGGCGAGCCAAGCGACGAGGAGGAUCAUGGUGUCUCCUCACGCCCGCACGCACACCGCCCGCGCCCGGCCAGUCGUGAUAUGGACGCCACGACGGCCCCAGCGGACCACCCCGAGGCGAUUCGGUCCCGCGAUGCUAUUCAGGCCAAGGAGAACAAGUGUGCGAGGCUAACCAGUGAGUUCAUCAUGCCCGACAUCUUUCUUCGCUAAUUUGUGCGGAUUUGGGUUGGGAUUUCUUUCCAUUUAGGGUUUAGGGUUCGGUUUUGUCCGAUUUUUAGGGUUCGGUUUGCAAUGUUUCAUCCACUAGUACUGUUUAUGUUGCAAAAUUUCAGGAGCAAUCAAACUUAGCAUUGUACUUGAGCAAUCAAACUUUCCAUGCUAGCAUUUUUGCUGUGCUCGGGUGUGGUUUAUGUGUUGCUCAGGUGAUGAGACUGAAGUUACGUCACAUUUCUUCAGUUUCCAUUGGCAGAGCAACGAGACAACAUAACAGUUAUUGUGAAUUUGAUAUAUCUGCAGGGUGUCACAUGAGUUGAGAUAUCGGGUACAUUCCUAGGAAAUCUAAUUGUCUCAAUUCUUUUGUAGUGCUCUAGUUGAAUUGUCAAGAACCAGUGUUUUGCUGAUGUGCAAUGUUUGUAUUCGAAAUAGUGUUACUAGCAGAAUGAAGAGGUAGACCUGAAAUGUCUAUUACUCCUUUCUGUUUGUUGGUUAGUUACUUGUUUCGUGGAGGUGAUACUGUGUACGUGGUCCUUCAAAUCUUAAGCCUAAAUAAAACACAAGCGUUUAUGCGUGAGGAAACAAAAACUAUCUAUCAAGCUGCCUUUUCCACUUAGGCCUUGUUUAGUUGCCUAACUUUGAAGAUGCAAAAUCACUGUUAUAGCAAUGUAGCACACUGUAGCGUUUCGUUUGUAUUUGUGAAUUAUUGUCCAAAUAUUGACUAAUUAGGCUCAAAAGAUUCGUCUCGCAAAGUACAACAAAACUGUGCAAUUAGUUUUUGAUUUCUCUACAUUUAGUACUUCAUGCAUGUACCGCAAGUUUGAUGUGAUGGGGAAUCUUCUUUUUGCAUAGUGUCAAAGUUGGGAGUUGGGGGGCCUUAACAAUGAGCAACUCUCGAGUACUUUUCACAGUAAAAAUGCACCUGUACUGUUUAUGUUGCAAAAUUUCAUGUUUCAACCAUCCAUGCUGUCUUUUUCAACACAUAUGUUUCACAAAGUCCCCGCUGAGAUGAGCCAUUCCACGGAGCGGGAGCCCAAAAAUGUGGCUCCCCGCGGCUUCCUCCCUGUUUUUGCCAUCCCUAUACUCGGGAGGGGCAGGGCGCAGGCGGAGCGAGGACGGCGCCGGGCAGCCAGCAGUGGGAGGCAGGGACAUCGCCAAGCAGCCAGCAGCGGGGACGAGGAAGGACGGUGGCGGGAGUGCGGUGGAGAUGCAGCACGGUGGGGGCGGUGGGAGUGCGGUGAGAUGCAGCAUGGCGGGGGAGCAGCAGGGCGGCAGCAAAUACGAUCCCUGCGCAGGGGCAGGGCCUGCAGGCGGAGCGAGGACGGCGCCGGGCAGCCAACAGUGGGAGGCAGGGACAUCGCCAAGCAGCCAGCAGCGGGGACGAGGAAGGACGGCGGCGGGAGUGCGGUGGAGAUGCAGCACGGCGGGGGCGGUGGGAGUGCGGUGAGAUGCAGCAUGGCGGGGGAGCAGCAGGGCGGCAGCAAAUACGAUCCCUGCGCGGGGGCUAAAGUGGAGUAGCGGUGGCGGCCGCCAUGAGCGCGUGGUCUGCCGGCCCGGCUGGCACGCGGCCUGCCCUCCACACCUCAGCUGCUGGCGUAGCAGAAACAAAUAGCAGCCCAGCAGAAGCAAGCAGCACCAGAGACGCCGGAGGCCUGGGCAUCAACGGCGGAGGUUGAAAAGACGGGAAGGAAGGGAACGCCGAACAGAUAAGGUCCAAGGAGGAACGAAUGACUGGUAGAAAAGAGAGAAAAACAAAAAAGAAAAAGGCGUGUAAAAAAAGAGAGAAGGAUCGGAUAAUAAGUGAAGGGGUAAGAAGGAAAAAGAAAAAUAUAGCAAGGGUAUCAUUAGUAUAUAAUAAUAUAAUGAUUGGCUAAUAUAUAAUUCUCCUCAUUAAUAUUUUUAUCAUACAAAACUCAAAUUAUAAACAAGAGAGAAAUCAUGGCAUAUUGUGCAUUUGACAUAUUUCAUCCAUUCAUGAGAAACAAAAGAAGCUAUUUUACUAAACGUUUUUCAAAACGACUUUAGCUCUAUCAGAGAAGCUGCAUGUGUAGGCCUGGAGCCAUGGAGCCAUGAACAUAUGCAUACGUCACAAUUUACAAGCAGUGCACGUAAGCACGUCAUAAUUUACAAGCCAGGCCACGGAGCUAGAGACAUUCUUCGGCCCCGUUUUCUUCCACUGACUUAUUUUUAGCACCCGUCACAUCGAAUGUUUAGAUACUAAUUAGGAGUAUUAUUAAGAUUUGCUUGAAGUACCUUCACUUGCUCUUCGGCUUCUACCACUAGAUCAAGACCAUAGGUUUGUCUUUCUCCAGUUUGUGACCAAUUUAAUGGUGUCCGACAUUUCCGGCCAUAUAGGACUUCAAACGGUGCCAUCUUCAAACUGGCUUGGUAGCUAUUGUUGUAAUAGAACUCCGCCAAUGGCAGGCACUUGUCCCAAUUUUUGUCAUAGUGGAUGACACAAGCUCUCAACAUGUCUUCAAGGAUCUGAUUGACUCUUUUGGGUUUGACCAUCGGUUUGAGGAUGAUAGGUUGAGCUACGGAUGAGUUUGGUGACCAUGGAUGCUUGUAGCUGUUCCCAAAAGCGUGCUACAAACUGAACUCCUCGAUCAGAGAUGAUGGUCUUAGGCACACCGUGUAGGGAAACAAUGCUGUCAGAUNNNNNNNNNNNNNNNNNNNNNNNNNNNNNNNNNNNNNNNNNNNNNNNNNNNNNNNNNNNNNNNNNNNNNNNNNNNNNNNNNNNNNNNNNNNNNNNNNNNNAGGAGCUGCCUAUGAGUUGCUACCCUUAAACAUCUGUAAAUAAUGGGCUUAACUAGGGCGUAAUUAGGCUCAAUAGAUUCGUCUCGCCGCUUAGAUCCAUCUUAUGUCAUCCUUUUUUAAAUCGUCUACGUUUAAUACUCCUAAUUAGUAUCUAAACAUUCGAUGUGACACGUGCUAAAAAUAAGUCAGUGGAAGAAAACGCCCCCGAAUAUUACUUAGGAGUUUAGGACUUGGGAGUGGCGAAAAUGGAAGAAACAACAUUAGCCCAACGUAAUCCACAAAUCUGCCGGGUCACCGUCAAAGCCCCGCAUCUGGCCCUGCAGAAACUUCAGAAAAUUGGAAAGAGAUUUGUAAAUAAGUUAGUCAAAGGAGAUUUUAAGAGCGUGCCUUUCUUUUAUCUGAUAAUGUGUACUAUCAUACCGUCACUUUGGGAAAAAAAAUUCUAAACAAAACGAUUCUUUUGGAUGAUUAAAUAGCUAACAUCCAUUAAAACAGCAGUGUUUCAGUGUUCCGUCUAAAAUGAAUUUAUAAUAUGUAUGGCAGUACAAGUAAAUGAAUAAUUGCAGUUAUGGGAAGCUAGUGUUUUGAUAUCUAUCUGGUCCGGAAUUUUCUAGAACACAACCAAGCAUAUAUGUGCGCAUAGCCACAUUGUACCGACUGCCCCCAAUUGGCAUCACAGUGGAGCUAGAAAAUUUUCAAGUGCUAGAGGUAAACUGAUGAAUUAGCUCUCACCUUUGUUUUUUAUAGCACGCAGAUCAACUAGGUGGCGCAUCGUUGGCCUCCCAUGUGGGCAGUUCCAUGGGGACCUUAAUCCUGUUAGAUUUUUAAGUAUCUGAAGUACAAAAGUAAAAGGGGCAUGUUACUGAGUAUUUUAAAUGAAUGCUUAUCUUUGUCUAAAAAAGGAACGCCUAUCUUUCAAUGAGCAGUGACACUAUGGGGGAAGGCAUUGCAUAUACUUCUGCAAAGACAGAAAUGGCGUCCAAAGACCCUAGAAGUUCCAUCUGAAUCUAACUGAAUUUGUAAUUACCUUUCUCAUCUCGGCUUUUGUCAGUGGAUCGCCAAUCAUAAUAGACAUUCGGCAAGCCCUUGAAGCCAACAUAGCACGAACCCUCGAAGGGCAAACAGAAUCAGUUUUAUCCAGCUUGUAGCUACUGAUUAUCGAACAGUCUCCUUGACUAUCAGCAAGCAUGGAGAUCAGCUCCUUUACAUCUAAUCAAGGAAAAUUAGAAUAAGACCAUGUUUGACAUGAGCAAAAGAAACCAAAAUUUCUGACAUAUGAUAAGAAAUAAUACCUUGAACACCAAAUGUAAUAUUUUUGCUGAAAGGCACCGCUUUCAAAAGAUAAUGGUUACCAGGGGAAGCAUGCAAAUCUUCUUCCAAAACAAAGCCAUUUGUUCUGAAAGUUGAGAAAAUGGAAGAAAACAGGUGAGGUAGCACGAAUUUGCUCAGUAUCAGUAAGAGCUGUCAUCAUGGCAUGUUUCAUCAAUUGGUGCCAGAGAGGAAAAGAACUUGAUGAUUCAAGACCACGUUGGCAUAAUUGCACAUUUUAUCAGGCAUAAUUGAUAUUUUCAACAUUAAAUAGAGAGCAAAACUUUUUGGAAGGAAAAAACACAAGGAACUGAUAUAUGAAGAGCGUGACUACAUGAGUUAUUCAUAUGACUUGCAGGCUAUAAAAGCUGCCUAGUUCCACCUAGGUCGGUAUAGCUUAUUUUUUCAUGAUGUACAAGACUUUUUCGCAACAGGAAUGUGGAGCAUACAAUGUAUUUGUUUUUUUAAUAAAUAGAUAACACUAGAGUAAGUAUAGAUAACAAAUGGAUAACACAAGCUGUGAAUAUGGCCAUCAGAGUUUUUUUUCCUUUGUUAGGGGGCGCCAACAAUGAUAAUUUUUCUUCAAAAAAUUCAGUGCAAAAAUUCAAGUCGGGGGGGGGGGGGGGGGGAAUGUUCAAAACAAAAUAGUAGUGGGUGUUGUUUGAGCAAGCAAAUGUUAAUUGUUUAGAUGCAACAAACAUCUGGUCACAUAAGCAACUGAAUAUUACAGCAUCAAAAAUGCAUAUUCAUCAUUAAGUCGUUCUAUCCUAGAAUCGAAUGGCCAAAUUGAAGUAGUAAGACAAUGAAUACCUGAUAGUGUUCAUGUUCAUAGAAACUAUUACUUCUUCCUCCGGUGAUAGAUCAAGCCUCAGUGGCCUGCAUUUGAAUAUAAUCACAAAUACCCAACAGAAAGAGGUAUAUCGCAAAUGGCACACAUAAAUACAAUGCUACAAAUUAUGGAUCCAUACUUGGAAACACUCAAACAUCACAGAGUUAUGAGCNNNNNNNNNNNNNNNNNNNNNNNNNNNNNNNNNNNNNNNNNNNNNNNNNNNNNNNNNNNNNNNNNNNNNNNNNNNNNNNNNNNNNNNNNNNNNNNNNNNNGAAAUGGUAAUGCAAAUCCGGAUGAUAAUGUAAGUUGUUUGUGAUGACACCAAAAAUGUUACCUUGUAGCUUUCUCAAGACAAUUUGCUUUAUUUGCACGCGAUGUCAUAAAACCAUUCUUUCUUCUUCUCCUAAGAUCAGCAACAGUAAAUUGCACAAUGGGAUAUUGUACAGAUGCAGAAUAUACUGCAGCAUCAUUAUCAGAAUCAUGAGCAUCAGGCAAAGGACUAUCCUUCAAUGUAUUCAGAUGUUCCACUUCUGAAUGUUUAUUGGGAGCACCAGAAAUCGAAAGACAUCGAUCAUGCUGUUCCUCCUGCAAGGAUUCCAGCAGUUAAUCCCGUGAGUGAUGGAAACAAAAGCUUUUUUUCGGUUUGAGUUAAACUCAUACUGAACCACAGGUAGCUAACGAAAGAAAUUAUUCCAGAAGCAAUGUCUAUUGUUUUAAACUAAAACUAAUAGCAAAAAUACCAAAAUUAGAUUGAUAAUUCACAAAUUAGAACAAUGUAAUCUUGCAAGAAAAUAAAAUAGAAAAUAGAAAUCCAUCAUGAACUCUUAGAUUUAGGAGCAGCAGGCAAAGCAUUUAACAGGAGUGUUAAGAAUAACAAGUGAGCAAGCAGCAUAAGAACAUGGACAAAACAAGCUAAGGUAUUGGCAGCAGUUCAAUCUCCACCAGAAUAUAAUGGAAAGGGCUGCAUAUCUGACUGUAAACAGUUUGCUUACCACAUCAGGUUCUGGAGUGAGAACAUCACAUGGACUUAAUACUUUCGCACCACAGAUCACAGUAUUAGGCGGUUCAGAAUGCUGUGGUGAAACAUCUGCCCUCACAGAUACAAAAGAUCGUGGGGAUUGCUGUUUUAAAGAGUUUGUUUCCAGAGGCAAAUUGAACUCAGGAAUAUUAGAUGUCCUUGAGCUUAAUGCAGCUGGUGGAUUUGCAUCUAAACUUGUUCUCCUCACUUGUUCUGAGCCUACCCCACUUCUCAACACUGGAGUUUCAGAGAUAAGAUUGCAAUUAUCUUCGUGCUUCUGCUUAUUUGGUGAAACAAAGUUUCCUUCCAAACUUGUUCUCCUCACCUGUUCUGAGCAUGCCCCUAUUCUCAGCACUGGAGCUUCAGAAAUAAGACUGCAAUCAUCUGUAUAGUCCGGCUUGUUUGGCAAUAUAAAAUUUGCUUCCAAACUUGUUCUCCUCACUUGUUCUAAGCAUGGCCCUCUUCUCAACACUGGAGCUUCAGAAAUAAGAUUACAAUCGUCUUCGUGCUUCCGCUUGUUUAGUGAUACAUAGUUCAUAAGAGAAGAUUGAACAGUAGGUGAAUGGGUAGAUUUUGCAGCAAGCCCUGUUCUGAAAUGAUUUGCUCCCGGUGCACAACCUUUUCCUUCUUUAGGAAAUCUUUUAGGUUGUUCAUAUGAGAAGGAUGGAAGCCAGGCAGAUCUAUCAGCCUGAGUGGCUGUGCCUCUUGACAAGGGGCUCACUUCUCUAGAUGUGGCAUCAAUGGCUACCUUUGUCACUGAAGAAGGCUUUUUCUUGUUCUCUGGUGAAACCUGAUCCUCGCUGUCUGUUUCUUCCUUGUCAUCACUAUUGUCCGGAGAUGAAACAUUCUCUACUUCUAUCAAAUCUGUGUCUUCACUAUGCCCAUCAGUAACAGUAUCCUCUUCCUUUUCAGGAUCUUCAACACGAUUGACUGAGAAACUACAUUGUUGAGGGGAAUACAGAUUUUCAACAGCUUCACGUAAAGACCGCAGAAUUAUACUCUCAGAUGAGAAGAAAAUCUUUCUCUUGUCAGGUGCGACAUUCACAUCAUAGGAUGUGGUUGGAAUACGGAAAUCCAGGAGAGCCACAGGAUAUUGCUUGGCAUUCGAGCUUCUGUACAGCUCAUUGACAAGUUUUGUGACCUUUGGCAUAUCAACAGGUCUGCUGUUCACAUAGAAGAAUUGUCUAUCUCCUGAAUUGCGACCAGUACCAGGUCCAGGUUUUGAGAGAAAGCCUUCUACUUGGCAGCCAUCUGAGAUGGUAACACUGAAGGGCUCAAGAGACUUGAAAGUGUUCAGACCAAAUACGGUAAUGAUAUUGUCUUUCAUUGAACUGCUGCCUUGAGUUCUAAGCACCACCAUUUUAGAAUUUUUGCCAACAGUAUUAGUGCAAAGUAAUCUGACCCCUUUGGCAAUCAAGGCAUAAGCCUAGCACAAGUAAGAUGCAACAAUUAGUAAUAGAGGGUAAAUAGACAAUCAGACAAUAAAACCUAAGCAAUAAUCUGAACAGAACAUGCCUACUACAGGAAGGAAAUAAGUAGAGAUGUGUGACAAUAAAUUGUUGAAGGGGAACAGUUACCCUCAACAUUUGAUAGCCACACACAAAACAUGCAAAGCAAAGCAAUCUUAGGAACUGAAACAGACAACUCACAUUCAGCAGGGAGAUCACUUUCCCAUACUCUUUCCGAAUGUUCCUGUUAAACUCCUUGCUCCUGACCGGCAAGGUGGAGAACAACUUCUCGACUGUCACCGUGGUCCCAACCUGCCGUGCGGUCUUCCUCUCGCUGGCCACCACGCCCGAGUGCUCAAACUCCAAACGCGUCCCAACGGACUCAUCCUUGGUCCUCGUCUCAACCGUCAGUUUCCCCAGCGCGCAGAGCGAGCUCAGCGCUUCACCCCGGAAUCCGAAGGUGACCACGGAUCCGAGGUCGGAGAAAUCUGAUAUCUUGGAGGUGUGGUGCUUAAGAGCAAGCGCCUAUUGAAGUGGCCGCGGCAUGAUUAGCGAGGGGCAAUUCGUGGCAAUGCCUAAUAGCAGGGAAAUGGGGGGAAGGGGAACUGAUGGCUCCUUGUAUUGGGGACAGAUGCCUCACCUGGAAGUUGGCGGGCGAGAUGCCGUAGCCGUUGUCGGCGACCUUGAACCACUCCGCGCCGUAGGCCUUGAGGCUGACCUCGACGGAGGUGGCGCCGGCGUCGAGGCUGUUCUCGACGAGCUCCUUGACGGCGGAGGAGAGGUCGAAGAUGACCUGGCCGGAGCAGAUGCGGUGCACCACCGCCUUGCUUAUCGGCUUGAUCGCCGGCGAGGAGCCGCCGCGCCCGUCUCCUCCUCCAGCUCCAGCCAUUCCUCCUUAAACCCUACGCCUCCCGGUGGAGAGGACGGGGUUUCCGGCUUCUGCUUCCUCUAAUCCUCUGGAACCCGCGCUCCUGGCUAUGCAACCGGCAAGCGAUUGAUUUCGCAGGCUCGCCGCAGUCGCAGCACGAGUGGCGGCGGCGAGACGCAUAUGCGUUGGGCCUUCAGUGGGCUUGGCCCAGAUAGAGAAUGAAACUCGAGAAAAAUGGGCCUUUUGUUAAAAGAAGUUUAGGCCCAUGCUUUUCUCUUUUUCCUAAAGAAAUUUAGGUCCAUUUUUUUGUAUGACCCAAUCCAAAUAUUGCCUAUGAUCAGGUAUAAUUUUCUCUGAGCUUCUUGUUGUCUCCAUGCUUCGUCAUGCUACCUUAUCCUGCAUACUUGAUUUUAUAAUUGCCGAGAUGAAACUACAAAUUCAUUUUGAAACUUCUGAGCCAGCUUCAUAAUAAACACAGCCGGCAAUAGCUAAUAAUUAGAAAAAAAAAAUCUGUGUGUAUACACAUAAAGUGUUUUGGUCUUUUGGGGCAUUAUUGUUAGGUUCGGGUUGAACUGAAUUCGCUUAGGAAAAAAAAUAAAACUCCAGCGCAGACUCAAGUGAAAAUGUUGCAACCUCGCGCAACCAAGAAUUAAGCACGGCUUUGUCCAUAACCAGGCCAGGUCACCCCCAAAACCACCCUCCCGCCCACCGGAUUAUGGCGCACCGGUGGCCGGUCAAAGCAAGCAGCCGGACAACACAAGCCCAAGUUGGCCGCGACUGCGUCCAAAGAACGUGACGAAUCCGCAACAGAACCAUGCGUUCUCCGUUCCGAGUCACCAUCAACUCAAUUAAAAAGAAAAAGAAAACGUGACGAUUCCGAAGAAGCGAGGAGGCGCCUCGCCGCGGCGCCACCCAUCACCCAGCCUGCCGCGCGGCGCGUUUCAGCCCGCGUGAGCUGGUUGGAUGCACCUGCGUGGAGGUGCGGGUGGCCCCCGGGUUCGUCGGCCGCGACCGGUGUUUGACUGCCCCGCCGCCGCCCAGACGAGCGGUUCUCGCAUUGGAUUUGUAUACUUUUGUUCGUUUUACACCUUUCCAUUUGCCGAAUUUGUGUAGCUGUAUCCCUCCUGUGGUAGCAUUAGUGUAUGGGCCCCACGUACCGCAAAAAAUGUUCUCACUCCCCUCCGUUUCUCCUCCCCCAGGCGAGCAGAGAGGAAAAGACACAGCGUCGUCUCCAUCUCUCGUUCCCCAUCCUUUCUAUUCUCCUGCCGGAGCUUCCCAACCCCAUCAAUCCAGCCAUGGAUCAAGAAAUUAAUUCCAUGGAGGACGGUAAAUAAAAACUCCAGCAUGUUUUUACUUUUUUCUAAAUUCCAAUGUGUUCCACGUACCGGUUACAACGGCCGUAAUCUACUAAUUUCUCUCUCCCGUUCCACCUCGGUCACUUUCCAAAGACAGAAGCGUGCACUUAUAUACACGCAUAAGUUAGGUGAUAGCAAAAGCGUUUCGUGGAUCGGAACGCUGGCGAGAAAGAAUUAGAACAUUGACGAGAUAGCGUAUAACGAUCUUCUUGCUUCUUUAUUAGUUUUUUUUAAUCAGUAACGGAUAAUUGGAUGAGGCUACAAUUUGUGUCGGAUACGAAAGUGAUCGAGUAGAGAUACAUGUUAAGGGGGAAAAUAAUAGCAUGGACCUUUGUUUAUGCAUUUUCAUACGAAAUAAUGAAGAGCACCGCUAGGCGCUAAACAUAGGAAUAUGGUACGGCUGGUUUUUCGUCUACAAAAUUGCAACCACUUCCUUUCUUUGAUCGCAAGAAAAAAGUGGGUUUCAGGGGGUGUUUGUUUCUUUAGUCCCUCCUAAAAUUUCUAUCACAUCAAAUGUUUAGAUACUAAUUAGAAAUAUUAAAUAUAGACUAAUUACAAAACCAACUGCACGGAUGGAGACUAAUUUGCGAGACGAAUCUAUUAAGCCUAAUUAGUUCAUGAUUUGACAAUGUGAUGCUACAGUAAACAUGCGUUAAUGAUAGAUUAAUUAGCUUAAUAGAUUAGUCCUCCUAAUUAGUCUGCAUCUGUGUAAUUAAUUUUAUAAUUAGUUUAUAUUUAAUCUCAUAAUUAGUCUCCGAAUAUUUGAUAAAAAACGCACCAUGUGAAAGGAAUCCUGCCAAGUGUGGAUACUAAGCGAAUUCCAACAUAUUUCAAGGACUUGAACACAAACAAUGCUGGUAUAUAACAAGACCCGGACAGACUUUCCCCCACCAGAACGAGAGAGGAAGAACUCGAAAAAGACAGAAGGCGAAAAUUCGAAGGAAAGAAGAAGAGGAGAACGCGAAGCAAAUGGCGGAGGGCCCGAGCAAGAUGGAAUCCAUGAGGAAGUGGGUCGUCGAGCACAAGCUCCGUGCCGUAGGUACGCCUCGUCAGUUUUCCUGCGGAUUCGUUUUCUUCGCCCGGAUCUAGUUAUUCGGCGUUGGUUUAUGAUGUAUCUCAAAUCCCUACAAUUUCUUUCUGACGUUAUUAGCGGAGUUUCGCAAUUUGGAUUGUGGGAGUCUAUCACGAAAUUAUGACCUAGUUUUUCUGUUUUCCGAGUAUUUUUGGGAAAGUUGUUUUUUUAGAUUAUUUCCCCUACUGGUUGCAAAGUUUUCUGAUUAUUGCGGGAUGUUUGGUUGGAGAAAAGGUUGCCUCUGGCUCACUGGGAUCAGCAGUUCGAUCGCCUACAACUGGUCGCGGCCCAAUAUGAAGCCUAGCGUCAAGAUCAUCCACGCAAGGUUAGUUUAUUUUCUCAUUUUUAUUUCACUCCUUUAACUUUUUGCGCGUUUUUAACUACAGGAUAGCAUGUCUUGUAUUAUCAUAAACAAGAAUACCGCAAUUGAUUUAUUCUUUUCUUAGAUCCAAUAACUUAAUUAGUCUUGAACAUUUCAUAUUUUUAAAACUACUACAAUUAAAAAUGGUUGAUUUUCUUGUCUGCGUCUGAAACUCCGUUUGAGAGCUAAUCUGCAAUAUGAAAAAGCCCGACCAACUUACAUGUUCCUAGACCUACAGGACUACAUCUCCACGGACUUCAUAUGAUUUUUUGGAAGUUUCUGUAAGGCUGGCUUAUUAGGUAUAACAUUGCUCAAUAACUGCUAAGAUUCCAGCCACAGUUAGGUAGGAUGGACUUGGCAUCAGGAUUGUAAGUAAAGAUCGGUGGUCUGGCAAGAAGUUUGAUUUGAUUGUAGAAAAGUCUCUGGUUUCAAUCGUUGUUAACUGUUGGUAGUGGUUAUAAAGUAGGUGGUGACAUUUGGCACAAGCACAAAUGCAGGGAUACCGUGGGUUUGCUGUGCCUGGAGGAAAAUAGUUGGUCUUGAUUCUUUUCAAAUAUACAGCAUUGGUUUAUAAGGUUGUAUGACAGUGUGUAUUUAUAUGGAUUUGGUUUCACAAAUUGGUUUGGGUGCCUGCCUGAUAGUGUUACCUUAUCUCCUGUAGUCCUGUUUUAAGCGUGCAGUCGUACCAUUCAAAAGAAAAGUUAAAGUUUAGUAGCUUCUUGGUUAUUGCAGACCUGUGCUUGAUGAUCUGUUAGGUAUAUACACUGGUAUUUGUCCUUACAUGAUGUAAGGAGUAAUUUAGGCAGCCUCUAGUUUAGUCUUUAAGCUCAUAAGGUUGUAAGAGUACCAAGUUCUCUCUGUUUCCUGCACCUUUAUGCAUUGGCUUAUAUGACCUGUCCACUCCAGCCUAAAAGUAAAAGAACAUCCGCAGAUGCAUUACCCAAUCCCUUGUCAAACUACUUUAGAUUGAACUUUUUAAUGCGUUUUCACACCCUCCUCCAAAGUCCUAAUUUGCUUAUUUCUUCUGAAUGUUCUGUAAGCCUGUCCAAGCCUAACUGCCAAAUUUGGGCGUGUUUACCUAGUUCAGCACAUAAAAUAUCUGAACUGUUGCUAUACCUUUGGCAUUCUGCCAAUAAUAGGAAACUCCUUGCCUUUUUUUUUUGCCAAAAUGGGAUGAAAACAGAUGCUACUUAAUUGAUGGUUCCAAUUUUUGCAAGUUUUUAGGGCCUACCUGCAUAAACAUAAAAACACCCUUAAAACCACUAUGGAUUGAACUUGUACAUUGAUCUUUCUCAUGUUGAAGGAUAGUGUUGUACAAAAUCCUUGAUGAACCUUCUCGCUGUGGCUGUUAAUUGGUGCAACCUUCACCUCAUAUAUUGCAGUAGUCAACAAUGUUGUAAGAUAGGUUAAAUUCAACUGCUAAUCAAUCGCAUGUAAAUGUACCGAAGAUGAUUGUUUUCAACUUUUCAUUCUGUAUCAUCUUUUGCUAUUUAUUUGCCUCUGGCUCUGAGCUCUUUUUAAUUCACAUAUAUAUGGCUUGUACAUGUUGUACUUCAUUGCACCUGCUUCGCUGAUGUUACUUCUCAUAGUGCUCAUUUCAUAACGGGUUCUGCGGUUUUAAAAAGAUAGUGUGCAUGACAAUUUGAUCUUAGAUUGGCGACCUUAGAUUGUGUGCAUGACAAUUUCAUAACAAUUGCUUAGAUUGGCAACCUUUGUUGCACGUAGACUGUAGCCACUGCAUGUAUUACUGAAUAUAGAAAUUGCAGCUGUUUUAAUACACACAGAUUCCAGAUGACUUCACUUGUAUUCAAUUCUAUCAUGCUAUUAUUUGAAAACUCACAAUCCUAACAUCUCAUAAACUGUUGACUUUUGCAGGUUGCAUGCGCAGGCUCUAACCCUUGCUGCAUUGGUUGGUUCUGCAUGUGUGGAGUACUAUGAUAACAAAUAUGGUUCUUCUGGGCCUAAGGUGGACAAGUACACAAGCCAAUACCUGGCACACUCGCAUAAAGAUUAAGAUCUCCAUGUUCAUUCCUGCAUAGCGGAUUAAUUUUGGGCUCAUUUCUGGGUGCUCAACUGCUCAUUAACUAUGUCCCUGGAUGCUGGAUGGUUCUCUUUGCCCCCUUAUUAAUGCAAAAUGACAGUGUACUUGCCAGGGCAUUCCUGGGAAAUGGCAUAGAGGGUGUAAUGGUGAUAUCACCUUCAUAAUUUAGCCUCAGGUUGCAUUAUGCAACAUCACAUUGUGAACCUUCCUUGGAUGUUUUUAUCUUUUUUCCCCAAAGAAAAGCAAAGGAGAGAGAUCCUGGUUUUUGCCGAACUGUUUUGUGUUCUCUGUCUCUUGUUCAUGCGUGCUUGUAUGCUGCUGGCAACGCAAAUCAGAGAUGCUUUUAACGAUGAUUUGUAGUUGUGGAUAUGUACUACUCGCAAAUUACAACUUUAUUAUAAUAAAAUUCAGCCUAUGCUCUAUACAAAAUCAACUCAUUUUGUGGUCCCUUCUUUUGAGAAAUUUUGUGGCGUCUUCCAAAGAAUUGAAACGCUAGAAUUUGUGUGGUCCGUUAAAAUUCUAGGGGAUCAUUGCGCCUGCUCUCCGAUGCACAAUUUAGUUUUUUAAAAAAUAGCCUGCAUAGACGCCGACAGGUGGAGCCCGUCACAUUACGCCUGGUGCGUCAAAACUCGAAGACCCCAACACCUUCCCGGGCGGCGGCGGCGGCGGCGGCUCGAUGCUACCCCGAUGCGGACGCCGGAGACCAUCGGCCCGCUCCUCGCCCGCUACGGUGCGUCGCGGUCGCUGCUCGCGGGGGCGCACCUCCACUCCCACCUCCUCAAGUCUGGCCUCCUCGCCGCCUGCCGCAACCACCUCAUCUCGUUCUACUCCCGAUGCCGCCUUCCGCGCGCCGCGCGCGCGGUGUUCGACGAAAUCCCGGACCCGUGCCAUGUCUCCUGGUCCUCGCUCGUCACCGCCUACUCCAACAACUCCAUGCCCCGGGAGGCGCUCGGGGCGUUCCGGGCCAUGCGCAGCCGCGGCGUCCGGUGCAACGAGUUCGCGCUCCCCGUCGUGCUCAAGUGCGCGCCGGACGCCAGGCUCGGCGCGCAGGUGCACGCGCUGGCGGUGGCCACGGCGCUCGACGGGGACGUCUUCGUCGCCAACGCGCUCGUGGCCAUGUACGGCGGGUUCGGCAUGGUGGACGAGGCCAGGAGGAUGUUCGACGAGUCUGGUGGCGCCAUCAGCAAGGAGAGGAACGCUGUCUCUUGGAACGGCAUGAUGUCGGCGUACGUCAAGAACGACCGGUGUGGGGACGCCAUCGGGGUGUUCCGUGAGAUGGUGUGGAGCGGGGCGCGGCCGAACGAGUUUGGGUUCUCCUGCGUCGUGAAUGCGUGCACGGGGGCCAGGGAUUCGGAAGCCGGGAGGCAGGUGCACGCCAUGGUGGUGAGGAUGGGUUAUGACGAGGAUGUGUUCACAGCAAAUGCGCUGGUCGACAUGUACUCGAAGCUGGGGGACAUUGAUACGGCAGCGGUGGUUUUUGAGAAGAUGCCUGCAGUGGAUGUUGUCUCGUGGAAUGCUUUUAUUUCCGGAUGUGUGAUUCAUGGCCAUGAUCAUCGUGCACUGGAGUUGCUGAUCCAGAUGAAGUCUUCGGGGCUGGUGCCCAAUGUGUAUACAUUGUCUACUAUCCUGAAGGCUUGUGCUGGUGCUGGUGCAUUCAAUUUGGGCCGGCAAAUUCAUGGGUUUAUGAUCAAGGCCGAUGCAGUUUCAGAUGAAUUCAUCGGUGUUGGUCUUGUCGAUAUGUAUGCAAAGGAUGGGUUUUUGGAUGAUGCAAGGAAGGUGUUCAAUUUCAUGCCCCAAAAGAAUUUGAUUUUGUGGAAUGCACUGAUCUCAGGUUGCUCUCAUGAUGGACAAUGUGGCGAGGCGCUGUCACUCUUUCGCAGGAUGAGAAUGGAGGGGCUUGACCUUGAUGUCAAUAGGACAACACUGGCUGCUGUUCUCAAGUCAACAGCGAGCUUGGAGGCAAUCAGUCACACAAGACAGGUCCAUGCUCUUGCAGAGAAGAUAGGGCUCCUAUCUGACUCUCAUGUCAUCAAUGGGCUUAUUGAUUCAUACUGGAAGUGUGACUGCCUCAAUGACGCAGUUAGGGUUUUUGAAGAAAGCUGUCCUGAUGACAUCAUAUCUUCUACAUCCAUGAUAACAGCACUCUCACAGUCUGACCAUGGUGAGGAUGCAAUAAAGCUGUUUGUGCAGAUGCUAAGGAAAGGGCUUGAGCCUGAUUCUUUUGUACUAAGUAGCCUCCUGAAUGCUUGUGCUAGUCUGUCGGCCUAUGAACAAGGAAAGCAAGUGCAUGCUCAUCUGAUCAAGAGGCAGUUCACGUCAGAUGUGUUUGCAGGGAAUGCUCUUGUGUACACCUAUGCAAAAUGUGGGAGCAUAGAGGAUGCAGACAUGGCCUUCUCUGGCCUACCAGAGAGGGGAGUUGUCUCAUGGUCUGCAAUGAUCGGAGGGCUCGCGCAGCAUGGACAAGGGAAGAGAUCGUUGGAAUUGUUCCAUAGAAUGCUUGAUGAGGGCGUUGCCCCAAACCACAUCACUUUGACCAGUGUUCUCUCUGCUUGUAACCAUGCAGGGCUUGUUGAUGAGGCCAAGAAAUACUUUGAGUCAAUGAAGGAGAUGUUUGGAAUUGACAGGACCGAGGAGCAUUACUCGUGCAUGAUUGAUCUUCUUGGCCGUGCAGGGAAAUUAGAGGAUGCGAUGGAGCUUGUCAACAACAUGCCAUUCGAAGCUAAUGCUGCAGUUUGGGGUGCACUCUUAGGAGCCUCAAGAGUUCACCAAGAUCCCGAGCUGGGAAGGUUAGCAGCUGAAAAGCUCUUCACUCUAGAGCCAGAGAAGUCUGGCACACAUGUCCUGCUUGCAAACACUUAUGCUUCAGCAGGCAUGUGGGAUGAGGUGGCUAAGGUGCGGAAGCUAAUGAAAGAAAGUAACCUCAAGAAGGAGCCUGCUAUGAGCUGGGUUGAGAUGAAGGACAAGGUGCAUACUUUCAUUGUCGGUGACAAGAGCCAUCCAAAGGCAAAGGAGAUAUAUGGUAAGCUAGAUGAACUGGGAGAUCUGAUGAACAAAGCUGGUUAUGUUCCAAAUGUGGAGGUCGAUCUGCAUGACGUAGACAAAAGCGAAAAGGAACUGCUGCUUUCUCACCACAGCGAGAGGUUGGCUGUCGCUUUUGCAUUGAUCAGCACUCCAGCUGGAGCCCCAAUCAGAGUCAAGAAGAAUCUGCGCAUAUGCAGAGAUUGCCAUGUUGCCUUCAAGUUCAUUUCAAAGAUCGUAUCAAGGGAGAUUAUCAUCAGAGAUAUCAAUCGGUUCCAUCAUUUCAGAGACGGGACAUGUUCUUGCGGUGAUUAUUGGUGAAAAUGGUUUUGUCAGAUGAUAAUUUUGUUGCUUGUUGAGAAUUCUGAUGGUUAGAGCAGUUACAUGCCUUCAUGGAGGCUUAUAGUUUCACAAGAUUUUGUAGCCAGUCAGCUGAGUGAUGCAAUGCAAUUUUUUUGUUGACAUACCCGCAGCCAUGCAUUUUGCAGUUGAAUCUGCACUUUGUAACAUAAAAAUGUUCCUCAUGUACACUGCUUUUUAAGCAUUCUUAUUCAUUUUUUUAUGGAUACAGCAAAAGGGGAGAAAACUUCAGUCGCUUGCUCUUCCCUAAGUAUUUGAUCCAGCUAUUGGCCAACUCUUCUGUGCGUGUAAUGUGUUUCUAGGGGAAAAUGACAACCGUUAUGUCAAUUAAAAGGAUUUGCACAUUGAGAAGGAACUUAUAUUUUCUUGAUCUUGUUAAAGGUAGACCCUGUUGUUCUAGAUUAUUACUUUUUUUUUGCCUCUUGAAUUGUGGAACUCAUCAGGUAAGCUACUUGUCUCAGCUUUUCAUGCUGAUGCAGUCAUUAUCCAGAAUUGAUGGCAUGGUACAAACUUGUUAUAAGAAGUCUUAUAAGUGUUGAUUGUAAACUCUUCCUGCUGUUUAUUCUAGAUUGUGGUAUAAUUCGUACCAAACAUCUGCAUAUAUUAAAUUAGCUCAGCAAUUUGGGCCUGCAUAAAAAGUUAAUAGCUGACUGGUAGGGUUUUUUUAUCCGCCCCAAACAUCCAGGAGUAGCAUCUGUUUGCUUGUUCAUGUUGAAUUGAACUACAGAUUUUUCGUUAUAUUCUUAGAAUUGUGUUUGUAUCAACAUUAGUCUCUAAAUAUCUGUUUUAGUUAUAAUCUAUAACACAGCUGCACAUUAUGCAAUAUCCCCUGAGGCCAAUGUUGGCGCCCAUAGAGUUAAAUGAGAUAUGUGAAAAGGUACACCCCCAAUUAACUGCAUAUGUUCUAGUGUUGUGGGGAAUUUCUUUUAUUUAACAUAUAUUUAUCUUAAUUAGCUAAAGGAUUAUGAGUAUAACAGGUUCGAGUUGGAAGUUGAUUUGAGUGUCAAUACACAGUGAAAAUUAUGACCAUGAAGCACCUUUGAGACUGACAAAGUAGGUGAGUCUUUUUAAUCUUGCAAAAUCACAUGACCCACUAUUUUAAUGUACAUAUCAAUAUCAGCUCAGUGAUACCCUUUGGCAGAGUUGAAUUUGUGUUCGCUGCUGCCUUGUUGAUUAAUUCUGAUCAGUGUCAAUAAAAUUAUCAUAUUUUUAUGUUUAAUGUUUGGCAAUUGCAUGGUUGUCAUUUUCUUGACGAACCUUAGAUUGUUCUUAGUUGCGUGAUGGUUGCUUUACUUGAUAUGCAUUUGUUCUUUACUAAGAACUUGAUAUUCUUCCUUCCGUAUUAUGUUUUUACUGGUUAGUUUGUCCCCUGCUCUUUGUGGUCGUUGCGAUUGAUUAUGAAUUUUCUUAUUAGUUGCGUGCACCAAUCAGUUCAACUUAAAAGUUUAAACUGAUGAGAAGAGGUCUCCAACAUUUAUACAAAAUAACAUCUAACUGUUGGGUGUUUGUUUUACUAUCGUGUAAUCUCCGGUUGGUUCAAUGAGUAUGCCAGCAUUUAGAUCCGGUUGUAUCUAAGGCUCUGUUUGGCAUGGCUCCAACUCUGCGUAGAGCUGCUCUACUCCAGAACUCUAGGUAGAGCUAGCUUUGGGUGGAGUUGAAGCGGUUUAGAUGGGGUGUUUGGCCAGAAGAGUGCUCUCAGCUUCAAAAAAGAUCGAUUUCGGUGUGGAUUGCCAUUGUUGCCCCCCAAUUUAGGUCCCACUUGUCAUCCUCUCUAUCCCCAUCUUCUUCUUCCUCAGAAGACGCGGGUAGGGGUCGGGCGGCCGGCAGCGGCGGGGUGCAGACGCGCGGGAGCUGUGUCUCAGGGCAGUGGCCUGGUCCAGCGGUGGAGGAGCCCCGCCCAGGCGAGAUAGGGGCGGCGGGCUAGUGGGGCACGUGCUCGUACCGGCGGGGUGGGCGGACGGCGGGGUCCGCAGCGGGGUGAGCAGAAGGUGGGGCAGCUGCGGACGGUGGACAGCAACAGGGGUCGGGCGGCCGGCGGCGGUCAGGAGGGGUAGCAGGAGGGGUCGCCCCGCGGUGCGUUGAUGGGUGGCAGGGGAGGAAGACGACGGCCGAUGGCAAGGGAGGAAGACAGGCGAGCGGGAGGGAGUCAGGGGGGAAGGCUCGCGAGAAAAGAAAGAAACCAUUUUUUGUGUAACCAUUGGUAUUGGUGGGUAAUUACUCACCAACUCCACAAGGAGGUUCAUAUUGGGUGGUUUUAUAGCUGCAAAAGAGGUGCUCCAAAACUCCACCUCUAUUUGCACUACAGCUCCAUGGAAUUUUGGAGCUGGGGUGUUUGGUUAGAAAAUUUGCUGGAGUUGCUAAGUUCAGCUCCAGAGCUAUGCCAAACACACCCUUAGAGUUAGAGAUAAAGAUUAGUUGUGUUCUUUGUAGAGAGAACCCACAUGUUAAUGGUAGAUCCUUUACAUUGCAAAACACUGGAUAAGAAUAAUUUUUCAUUGUAUUAUAAAAAGGUAUCGAUUCGAUCUCACAUCCACUUUAUCCUAAACACUAAUUAAUACUCCGUUUCAAAAAUUGUUGGUCGUUUUGACAUUUCUAGGUGUAUAAUUUUUAUACAUCUAAAUAUAGUCUAUGUCUAGAUGCAUAAUACUCAUCCAUCCCAAAUUAUAAGUCAUUCCAAGAAUCUUGGAGAGUCAAAGUAUCUCAAGUUUGACUAAAUUUAUAUGAUAAUAUAAUAACAUUUAUGAUGUCAUCUAAGUAUCAUUAGAUUCUUCAUCAAUUAUAUUUUUAUAGUAUACCUAUUUGAUGUCAUAAAUCUUUAUAAUUUUCUCUAUAAUUUUGGUCAAACUUGAGAUGCUUUGACUCUCCAAGAUUCUUGAAAUGACUUAUAAUUUGGGAUGGAGGGAGUAAUAUUUAUGAACUUAUAAAAGCUAAAACAAUCUACAGAGGGAUUAAAAGAAUAGAUAUAAGUGUAUGUGUUUUCCUUCAUUUUCCACUCAAAUCCUAUCAAAAAAAUAUUACUAAUCUAUGAGCCACUUUUAUACUUUUUUUGCGAGUAACCACUUUGACACUUAGUAUUCCUAUUUUUAGAAACUGCACCUUGGAACAAAAAAGAAGGUAUACAUUGUAGGCUAUAGGUUCUGGAUUAAGUUAAUAAUAAAAUAGACAUAAUUUGCAAGAAACGGUCUUUCGUGUGUCUAUAUAUAUAUGCUCUGCGGUCUUUCGUAGAUAUACAUAUGCUCUGCCGCCCUAGCUAAACUCACCGAUAGCCGAUCAUGCAGCCAGAUACCAAUAGCAGCAAAAAGUUAUUGUUGUCGAAUAAUAUUUACACGAGCUAAAGCCAGCCCACAAGUCCUGCAUUCCGGCAAAACUUAGCGACAACUUGUAGAACUAUUCUUUUACAGAAGGAUGAAAGGGAGGUUCCUCCGUGUAUCUAAGCACCGGGAAGAAUAUGAACUACAAUCUAUUGUUCACAGUUGAGAGGUUAUACUGAUACACAAAGAGGUAGAAGCACACAUCCAAGAAUCCUUUACAAGUAACACUUAGUUGCCUAAGUCUUCCUAGCUUUGCUUCGUUUGCUGUGGGUUGGCUCUUGAAUCCAGCCUUCUCAAUCUGAUAUUGCGAACAAUAGCAGCUUGCUUCUGGCGAUGACUGUAGCUUUUCCUUUUGCUGCACAGAUAAAUGAAAAUUUGAGCUUUCAAAGAAAAGUAGUGGCACCAAUUGCAAGCUUCCAAUCUUCCAUCUUAGCAGGAAUCAAUUCAACACACCCUGCAAGAUUGUAGCAAGAAAAGGGGACAAAACUCGAAGUGUUGCACUUUCCAUAGGGUUUGGCUGGAGCUUCAGCGCUCCAUGAACUACUCCAUCGGCCACUCAUCCCGGAUUCGUAGUCUGAGGUUUGGGUUGUGGCCGUUUCUUAAAUGUUAAUGUUUGUGACACGUCUGUAACUGGUUAAGUUUUGUGUGUGUGUGGGAGCGGGCAAUUUGCCUCUCCUGUGUAUUAUUUUUCCUCCUCUUAAUGCAAUGACAUGCAGAUCUCUUGUGUUGUUCGAGAAAAAGAAUUGUUCCAUUCAUCUUCUAUAUGCUUAUGCAGUGCCUAUUCCAAAAAUACAAAACAUACUUUUUCCAAACAGGACUACAGGAACUAAUUAUGCAGAUAAUUUACUACCCCUUCAUAAAGAAUAUGAAAGAGAAGGAAAUAUGAAAGACCUGAUAAAAAUGAGGCCCGCGGUGAGGACCAUUCCUCCAAUUGCCCAUGAAAUUCUUUCACCGACAGGCAUAUCUCUUGCCCAUCUCUGGAAAUCUUGAACAUUCCAAGAAGCCACACCGCUUAAUGUUGGACGGUCUUUUGAAGAAGUCCAUGAAUCAGAGAUGGAAUCCAAACUCGCUUUACCACCAUAGCAGAAAGUGUCAUCAACUAAACCAGAGUUGGUCUCAGAAACUUGCACAGAGAAACCAGCAAGAUGACAUAACUCUGUGCCAUUAGAAACCCAUUUAUGUGCUUUGCCACAAAGGAUGUCACCUAAACCACAAGGAGAUAAGGCCUGACAAAAGAAGUAAGGAUAACUUUUCAGAACCAAACUGUGAAAUCAUAACCAACAAAAAGAUCACAAGGUGUUAAGGCUAAGAAUUUCCUACGUACUGAGGAUUAUUCAAGAAGAAAAGGGAAAUUUCACAGAAUCAAUAGCUAUUCAGAAUGUAUAGAACAGACAUGGGUUAGAACAUGACUGUUUAUUGUAGGAUCUAACCAUAAAAAUACCAAGCUUAAUCUAGCAAUGACACUUGGAUUUUGUAUGACAUUACAUGAUUGAGGUAUCAGUACCCACUACCCAAUUGUAUCAUUGAUCUCUAAUCAGAGGGUCUUUAGUCUUACCUGUGUUUUCAUAUCCACGGAGAAGUACGAUUCUGAACAAGCUUUGAAGACCAUAUCACAGAAUGACGCACAUACAACAGGAGGUCCAGGCCUGACACCCACGCGUGGAUCACAUAUUGAGCAUUCAAGCAAUUCCCACAAAUGGAUACAUUCUUGACCGCCUUCACCAGUUAAUGCAAGGUUCCUCACAGAGACCAGAGCAGGAAAUGUCUGAGUCACAUCGCAACAUGUAUUCUGACGGAAUAUCCUACACAGUGCUAGAUCUCUGCGCCCCUUCGGUGCCCUUCCAGGAGGCUUGCCUUCAGAUGAAAAGGCAGGAAAUCGUCCACCAGGUGAAACACAUACACCUUUUGGUUGUCCUGUGGAGAAAAAGUAUGUGAUAUAAAUCAUUAGAGUAACGCUCCCAUAGUAUUCAUUUACUGAGGAAUCAGCCAUGGUAACUACAAGCGAUUCUAUCUUAACUAGGAUCAUUUGAUAUCAACCACAAUAUUCAUAUAUAACUAAGCGAAUCAAAGAUACUGCUUGGCAUGCGGUAGCAUAAGCAUUGCUCAUCAGUGUAAGUGUUACAAGCAGCAGUAUUAUCAUAAAUCCGAAUUAUAUGGCAGUAAGGUAAACACAGCCAGUAAUGCAGCUUAACUUAAUUCAUAACUCAUCUAACAGUUUCUUUCAAAAACUGUCCUCUGCAGUAUAAAAUCUGAAAGUUCGCAAAAUGCAGACAGUAAAUUCAGAGUGAUGAGGCCUAAAGUACGCACACGUAGCCAUUUCUAAAUUACCGUCCCUUCUUCGCUAUACAUACAUUUAGCAAAAUCUACACUGCUUACACAAUUCGAGCGACCAAGCACACACCAGCAAGGAUCCAUACAAAGGCGCGACAAGAAUAUCUAGCGCCAUGCACGUAAACUUAGAAAAAACACUUCCCCUCCACAGCUCAAGUAAACGGAACCAAAUAAAACAAAAACUAUAAAUGAGAUCUCGAGUACUCCCAGGCGAGGCGACUGGUCGUACCAGCUGACGCGACCGGCGAGAAGAAGAGCAGCGCCAGGAGGAAGGCGAAGCUGGCCGCGGGUGGCGGGCGCGUCGAAUACCCCAUCGGAAGCCGCCUGCCCGCCCCGCCGGCGGGGUGCUCGCGGCAGCCGGGGGAGGUCGGCGCGGCGGAUGGGGAUAGGCGGUCGACGAAUCGAUGCGCUUCCCGGCGUCUGCGACUCUGGAGUCUGGACCAUACAAGUCAACAAGGCUCCUCGCCUCCUCGUCAAGAAAUGGGCCGGACGCGACGCGAGGCCCAACAUAAGAACACGGCCCGGUUUCGCUUCCAGAACUCCCAGGUUGCCGCUCGCCCGCAGCCGCGCGGCGUUUGUUGGAGAGGCAACGCAUUAGUCCCGCAUCGCUUGGCGAGAGCGGAGCGCGGAGAGGGAGAGCUACAAAAGGAGGGGCAGGGCACCUGACCAACUCAUACCUUUCUCGGCCUUUUGGCUAAGAUCAAGUGUAGUAUCUGUUCUUAUCAGUUUAAUAUCUGAUAUGUGGGCCAUGUGCCCACUUCGAUAUUAAAUUUAUUUUUUGUGGGGGAGGGUCCACCACAGUGGCUUGCCACUGGGGUCCUCGAGCGUCGCCCAGCCGUUGCACUGCUGGCAGGGCCUGGCGCACCCCAACCAAAGAAAAUUAAAAUUUUUUUAUGUUUAUUUGGGCCGCUGGUCUCUAUUUUGGCUGAGGCCUUUUUCUUGGGCCUGAAUGUCGUCAACACAUGUGCCCUGCUAUUUGAAAAAUCGAAAACAAUUAUUAAUUCUGGUCAAGCACGAUUUUCCAAUACAUCUUCUGUUUAGCUGCAUGAUCUAAGGGCAACCUAAUAUUUCAUGGGUGAAUUCAACCUGGCGCUUUAUCGCAGGUCAACUUUUAUUUAACUUUUCUUAAAUAAGGGUCGCAGUUCAACCUUUUUUUAUAUAAGGGUCUCAGCGUUUUAUCGCAGCUCUAAUCUGAAAUCAGUAAGAGCAGCUCUUCACAAAAAAUUCUUCCUCAAAACGAGAUAUUGGGGUUAUACUAAAAACACAAUAGAACUCUAAAAACUACCUCCAAUAAUUCAAAACAGGCCACGUCAUCGUAUCGGGUCCAUUAGAAUUCGUUGCUUUUUUUCCCACCACCGUGACCUCCAUGGCGUGGUCCUUGCAGGCGGUGAACUGCUGGGCGAGCACCCACUGCGCGUCAUCGUCGCCUCCGUCGCCAUUGCGGUAGCGGUGCAGGGUCCCCACGUACUCCGACGGGAGGUGGUUGCCGAUGGAGAAGCCGAACGCGGGGAUCCAGCGACGGGAGGUGGACACCGCGGCGCGGGAGUCGCCGACACGGGAGAGGAUGACGAUGAGGAGCUCGUCGGGGAGGGCGCAGAGCCAGUCAGCAUGGUCGCCGCAGCAGGACCCGUCGGAGAGGCGGCGCUGACCAGGGGAAAAAACACGCGCGGAGGGGGGCGGGGUGGGAUCGGGGAAGACCGGGGUGUCGCGAAUAUUUGCAGGACGAGAGCUGUUUUUUCGCGUCGAAUCUUAUAGGGAGUUUUAGUGGACUGUUGGAGUUCUUUUUUCUUUUUUUUUCUAAAAAAAGGUAUUGGGGGUAAGAUUAGCAGCUUUUUGGAGUUGCUCUAAUGCUACUAAUCUUACGUCCACGCGUCCAACUCCACACCACACAUAUAUCCUUUUAUCCUUCCGCUCAUUUUUCUAGACCGGCUUCUCCAUGUUUGAUCCUCCAUGCACAUCGCUUGCUUGCAGCCCAAGCUUUCCCUAUGUCGCGCCUCCCUAAUCGCUGCCGGUGCCGGCGCUCUCAGCUCCCUCCCCUAUGCUACCCCUACUUCCCCGCCGUCAUCCCUGCCCCAAAUCAUAGAAGAGGCCACCAGGUCCUGCUCCAAGGGGCGAGCUGUGCCGGCCAUCGGAGGAGCUACUCUGCCCGCAAUGGGCUUAGCCGUCGGAGGAGCUCCACGGGGAAGGGUGCUGAGCGCCGCUGCCUCGCGACCAUAGGUGAGCCGCGCCGGCCGCUGCCUUCCUCCUCCUCCACCACCAUUUCCUAGCAUCGGAUCCUGCUAUACAGUGCUCCUCCUACUAGGGUUUACUACAUGUUGCAAAAGUAUAUUUUAAGUGUUUCAGAUGUUUUAGAAGAAUGUUGCAAGUGUUUUAUGUGGAUGUUGCAAAGUACAUCUAGAUGUUGCGAUGUUGCAUAUGUUUCACACACAUGUUGCAAGUGUUUUAUCUGGAUGUUACAUUUUUAACGAGAUAUUUGAAUGUUCCAUGCAACACGAAACAGAUGU